UUGGAGGGCAAGUCUGGUGCCAGCAGCCGCGGUAAUUCCAGCUCCAAUAGCGUAUAUUAAAGUUGUUGCAGUUAAAAAGCUCGUAGUUGAAUUUCGGAGUUCUACCGUUGGUCGGGCUUUGUCUGUACUGGUGUGUAGAAUUUCUACCUUCUGGGGAACCAUCAUGCUAUUAAUUUAGCGUGGUGGGAAACCAGGACCUUUACCUUGAAAAAAUUAGUGUGUUCAAAGCAGGCUCAUGUCUGAAUACAUUAGCGUGGAAUAAUAGAAUAGGACGGUGGUCCUGUUUUGUUGGUUUCUGAAUCACCGUAAUGAUUAAUAGGGAUAGUUGGGGGCAUUAGUAUUCAAUUGUCAGAGGUGAAAUUCUUGGAUUUAUUGAAGACUAACUUCUGCGAAAGCAUUUGCCAAGGAUGUUUUCAUUAAUCAAGAACGAAAGUUAGGGGAUCGAAGACGAUCAGAUACCGUCGUAGUCUUAACCAUAAACUAUGCCGACUAGGGAUCGGACGAUGUUAAUUUUUCCUGACUCGUUCGGCGCCUUACGGGAAAC
This 544-nucleotide ribosomal RNA is filed under the name uncultured Glomeromycotina. RNAcentral describes it as "SSU rRNA". It matches the Rfam family "Eukaryotic small subunit ribosomal RNA", at positions 548 to 1098 of the family's 1831-position model. Lineage: Eukaryota; Fungi; Glomeromycota. The record is from RNAcentral.